UCUACUAGGAAGAUCCUAAGGAGAUCUCAGAGAGUGAGUGAUGAGUCGGCGGAAUUACGACAGGAGUGUGUGUGUUAGUGUGUACACCUUUCAAUCCACUGACAACUAGCAUUAGUUGACAAAUGGAAAUCUCAGCAGCAGCUGACGUUAGUGACUUUACCGUACAUAUUACUAUUAUCGGUCCAUAUCAUUAUUGUUCGUUUUUAUAUUUAUCUUCUUUUUUUUUGCGAUUUCGCUUUUAUGUUUAUCCAGUGAGAUAUUCUUGAACCGUCUAGUUAAUUGCUCUUGAUUUCUUGCACGGAAUCCAUUAAAUCCUGUACAGAUUUUAGGCCUGCACGUACAACGUACCAUGCCUGAAGCGUUUAAACUACGCAGUACGCACGUACUUGAUCGAACUCGAAACACACCGAACUAAUCCUUUGUCCCUCCCAUCUGGCCAUCUCACACACAUUAUUUUUCAUUUAUUUAUCAACGUGAACUUGACAAGGUGCUGUUAUAUGUAUCAAUUCAGAAGAUAAUCUCCAUCAUGGUAAACAGAAUAAAUCGUGUCACCGCGAUUUGGGUUCUAAUUUUCUACCCUAGCUAAUUAAAGGCCUAAUAACAAGCAACCUUUCAUAGCUCUACUAGUGGUAGGAUUAUUCAAGCUCAGACGUACGUUUGGAAAGGAGUUAGUUACAAGAGAGCAGCUAAGCUAGCCUUGUUCAUUUUUUUUCUUUGUGUCUAGAGUCUAUACACUAUUCUACAGCAGUACUGCCGUUUAUCGUAACGCAGCGGCCGGUAAACAUUUGUUAAGCUGUUACCAUCUUAGCUUCGCCAUUAUCAGUAGAGGAAAAGUUCAGUUUUGAUUUCUUAAUCAUCUUCUUGUGUGCAUGAUUGCCUUCGUACAAUUAGAUUAGAACUUUUGACUGACUAUGCUGGGAAUAAAAGAAGGAAAACGUUUAACAUUCGCAUCCAUGCAUAAUAAUUUUAUAUUCAACUCUCGAGGCGAGCUAAUAUGUCUCCAUUAGCGUUUGCAAAGUUCAUCUCUUUUUCUUUUUGCGAAUCACACCCUACAUCAUGGAAUAAAUUUGUCAGACCUCAACGCCAU
RNAcentral lists this long non-coding RNA (1087 nucleotides) under Sorghum bicolor (sorghum). RNAcentral describes it as "long non-coding RNA (SBIC_LNC003894)". The record is from RNAcentral. Lineage: Eukaryota; Viridiplantae; Streptophyta; Magnoliopsida; Poales; Poaceae.